RNAcentral lists this ribosomal RNA (523 nucleotides) under Pila pesmei. Its description in RNAcentral is "partial large subunit ribosomal RNA". It matches the Rfam family "Bacterial large subunit ribosomal RNA", at positions 1817 to 2597 of the family's 2925-position model. Lineage: Eukaryota; Metazoa; Mollusca; Gastropoda; Architaenioglossa; Ampullariidae. The record is from RNAcentral.
GUCUCUUUGUUUUUAUUUUAUAAAGAGUCUAACCUGCCCAGUGAUAUAUAUUUUAACGGCCGCGGUACUCUGACCGUGCAAAGGUAGCAUAAUCAUUUGCCUUAUAAUUGAAGGCUUGUAUGAAUGGUUUGACGAGAAUUAACCUGUCUCUUAUAAAUUAAAAUGAAAUUGACUUUUAAGUGUAAAGGCUUAAAUUUUACUAAUAGACAAGAAGACCCUAUUGAGCUUUAAAGAUCUAUGAUAGCAUACGAUGUAUUAGAAUAAGAUUAUAAGUUAUUAAAGUUUUUAGUUGGGGCGACUAUUGGAACAAAUGAAACUUCCAGAGUUUUAUGAUAUUUAAUAUUAACUUAUUUAAAUUGAUCCAAAAUGUUUUGAUUAAUAGAAUAAGUUACCAUAGGGAUAACAGCAUAAUCUAUCUUAAGAGUUCUAAUCGAAAGAAAGGUUUGUGACCUCGAUGUUGGAUUAAAAUAUCCUAAGGGUGUAGAAGUUCUUAAGGGUUGGUCUGUUCGACCAUUAAAAUUUU